Molecule: long non-coding RNA, 1360 nt
Filed under: Setaria viridis
Lineage: Eukaryota; Viridiplantae; Streptophyta; Magnoliopsida; Poales; Poaceae
Description: long non-coding RNA (SVIR_LNC007474)
Source: RNAcentral
UUUCACAGCAGUUAUUGUUGUUUGACUGAAAAGUUGCUAUGUUAAUGUUGUUUCACUGAAAGGUUGCUAACGUUGUUUCACAGCAGUCAAACUGAGACAAGGCAAGCUGGAUUCUUGUGCUACGACAUCCACAAGUUAGACGAAAAUUAAUAGCUUGUUACAACAAUGCAUAUGCAGCAAAACAAUAAACACUAACCAGGCAUAAAAGAAAGUAGUGAAACCCAAGCUACUUAUCACUUUUUGGCUGGUCUUUCUCUCUUUCCACUCACUGCUUGAACUUCUCAAUCUCGAGAUUCGCUAAAUACCUGAAAAAUUAAAUCUGAAUUGAUGACUGAAAUAACCAAAGUUUACCAGGCUACCAACAGUUUACUCACCAUUUAGAUCUUUACCAGUCUUUAUGGUCAUCAGUUUCGUUGCUUCCAUGGCACUAAGAAUUCCAUUCAUAAAAAAAUAAUUUUCCCAUCACGUCAUAAUUAUGCAAACUGGAUAAUCUCUCUAAUAUGAAAUAGGUGUUGUUUUGCACAUUACCAUGCUUCCCACGAUAUAACUUUGAUUCCCAUAAAUAAAAUAUAAAUUCAUUACUAUUUUUGUUGCAAUAUAUAUUUGUGAAAUGUACCAAUACUUUACUACAGUAAGAUACUUUUUGAGACAAAGAUACUCGCAUCAUUUUCAUGUAUUCGAAAUGAAUGUAUCAGAAGAAUUUUUUUAUCAAAGGUUUUGACUGAUGACUUGCAGUUGCACUCAAAAUAUGACUUCUCUGUGGAUUUAAAGAAUAAUAUUCAACAAUAUAAUCUUGUCGGUGGCAGUGGGAUUCAUUCACCAUAUUCUCAUAUUUUAUUCUUUAUUUCUAUAUGCGUGCACAGGGUUAUUCAUCUUCACGCCUUGUGUUCUUAUCUUGUACGACUAUUCGUUGUACGACACAGUCGUGGCCGUUAAUUUUUUUAUAUAGGCAUGCCCUAUCAAGGGGCACCCGGUGAUCAACAAAUCCCAAUUGCAACAACAAGAUAAUCGAAUAUGAGCACUCCCGAACUGCGAAUCGUAGCUUUGUAGGUAUUAAACAAGAACAAAGCAACGUGCAAAAAAAAAAAGAGUUGUGAGAUGAGAAGGGUACUCACGUAGUUGUUGGCCCAGUUCUAGUAGUUGUCCUGCCAGUGCAGGAGGCCAGGAGCUGGGACUUUGCCGAGGAUCCUGCUGCAGGCAAGGGACGGCAGGAGGGCAGGGCGGCGGCACCGAGCGGCGAGAGGUGCAACGGCGGGGGCGAGGGUGUGGGGAGUAUGGCAAAUCGCGAUCUCCCUUCGCGGACGGCGCGGAGGAGCGCCCGAGCCUAAGCGCUUUCUGUUUGACCAGGUUGUGGACCUUU